AGCUUUGCACAGUGGGAGUAUCAUAGCCAAUGAGGUUUAUCUGAGGCACGAUUAUUGCUAGUUGAAAACUUGUCCCAUUAUAAUCAAUAUUCUGCUCAUUACAUUGCCAAAAUUUAGUCUUAUAACUGAAAGUUUGCAUCCUUUGACCAAAA
This 152-nucleotide small nuclear RNA is filed under the name Ochotona princeps (American pika). RNAcentral's name for it is "U4 spliceosomal RNA (ENSOPRG00000020073.1)". It matches the Rfam family "U4 spliceosomal RNA". Rfam says of the family: U4 small nuclear RNA (U4 snRNA) is a component of the major U2-dependent spliceosome. The structure of U4 snRNA from yeast and human has been reported. Lineage: Eukaryota; Metazoa; Chordata; Mammalia; Lagomorpha; Ochotonidae. The record is from RNAcentral.